RNAcentral lists this transfer RNA (74 nucleotides) under Syntrophus sp. (in: bacteria). RNAcentral's name for it is "Syntrophus sp. (in: Bacteria) tRNA-Gln". It matches the Rfam family "tRNA". From Rfam's summary of the family: Transfer RNA (tRNA) molecules are approximately 80 nucleotides in length. Their secondary structure includes four short double-helical elements and three loops (D, anti-codon, and T loops). RNAcentral also lists the same sequence under 14 other names. The record is from RNAcentral. Lineage: Bacteria; Pseudomonadati; Thermodesulfobacteriota; Syntrophia; Syntrophales; Syntrophaceae.
UGGGGGAUCGUUCAAUGGUAGGACAACGGACUCUGACUCCGUGAAUCGUGGUUCGAAUCCACGUCUCCCAGCCA